CUUCUAGCUUGCUAGAAGUGGAUUAGUGGCGCACGCGUGAGUAAUGCAUAGGUUAUGUGCCCUUUAGUCUGGGAUAGCCACUGGAAACGGUGAUUAAUACUGGAUACUCCCUACGGGGGAAAGUUUUUCGCUAAAGGAUCAGCCUAUGUCCUAUCAGCUUGUUGGUGAGGUAAUGGCUCACCAAGGCUAUGACGGGUAUCCGGCCUGAGAGGGUGAUCGGACACACUGGAACUGAGACACGGUCCAGACUCCUACGGGAGGCAGCAGUAGGGAAUAUUGCUCAAUGGGGGAAACCCUGAAGCAGCAACGCCGCGUGGAGGAUGAAGGUUUUAGGAUUGUAAACUCCUUUUGUUAGAGAAGAUUAUGACGGUAUCUAACGAAUAAGCACCGGCUAACUCCGUGCCAGCAGCCGCGGUAAUACGGAGGGUGCAAGCGUUACUCGGAAUCACUGGGCGUAAAGAGUGCGUAGGCGGGGUAAUAAGUCAGAUGUGAAAUCCUGUAGCUUAACUACAGAACUGCAUUUGAAACUGUUACUCUGGAGUGUGGGAGAGGUAGGUGGAAUUCUUGGUGUAGGGGUAAAAUCCGUAGAGAUCAAGAGGAAUACUCAUUGCGAAGGCGACCUGCUGGAACAUUACUGACGCUGAUGCACGAAAGCGUGGGGAGCAAACAGGAUUAGAUACCCUGGUAGUCCACGCCCUAAACGAUGGAUGCUAGUUGUUGCCUUGCUUGUCAGGGCAGUAAUGCAGCUAACGCAUUAAGCAUCCCGCCUGGGGAGUACGGUCGCAAGAUUAAAACUCAAAGGAAUAGACGGGGACCCGCACAAGCG
RNAcentral lists this ribosomal RNA (826 nucleotides) under uncultured bacterium. RNAcentral's name for it is "bacterial SSU rRNA". It matches the Rfam family "Bacterial small subunit ribosomal RNA", at positions 72 to 931 of the family's 1533-position model. The record is from RNAcentral.